Molecule: long non-coding RNA, 977 nt
Organism: Lynx canadensis (Canada lynx)
Lineage: Eukaryota; Metazoa; Chordata; Mammalia; Carnivora; Felidae
Exons: 3
Source: RefSeq, a predicted model, not a curated record
AGUCACGGGGUUCAUGGAGAUACAUGAUCUAUUGACUACAAAUCUAUUAUCUCUCUAGUUUCAAUUACGAUUUUAAUUGAUAUUAACCACUUAAGGGUAAUUGUAACAGAUCCUAGAGCGAGAUUCAGAUGUCUGCCGGUUCCAACACUUAGGGGCUAUGUGACCUUGGGCAAGUUACAUGACCUCCCUGAGCCGUAAUAGGGUGAUCAGUCAAUUGCCCAUAUAGAUAGAUGUCUGCCUGUCAGUGUUGCUGAUGGUCUGAAGUAAUAAUAGGUGAAAGUCUUAGCUUAAAGCAAGCACUCAACAUGUUUGUUCUUUGUCCUCCAAGGAUCAUCAUGAACAGAGUGUUGGAGGGCAGAGAGGCUGGGGAAGGAGCGUGGAAAUUGUCAGAAGCAGAUCGUAUUGCAAACCAAAUAAAAAUCAAGCCCAAAUCCAUCUGAAAGCUGGAUUCACCUGACCCGUAACCUCGGUCUAGGAGCCUCGGCCACUUUGCUUCCCUCGCUGUUCCCCCUUGCAACUGAGGCACCGUGGGUUUCUUGAGAGCAAGAAACUGAGAGCAAGCGGGACACGGACGGCGUGAAUGUCCACGGUGAGUCACCUGAUGCUGGCGAGGUCGGUGAGGCGGGCCUGGAAGGCACGGAACCACCGGAUGAGGACCAGUGGAGGCACUAGGAGACCAGGCGGCGUGGCCUCAGGGAAAUGCCAGGCCAAUCAAACCAACAGGCCCAACUUACCCUGCGCCCCCUGCAGCACCAGCUGACUGCCCCGGGGCCUGAAAGCUCAUCCUCCUGAAUCUCUUCGGUUGCUGCCAGGAACUGGUGGUCUCCUUGGCCCCUCCCGGGGAGGGGGGCAUCAGUCCCCAGGCUUCAGCCUGAGCCCACGUUUCUGCCCAGUACUUCACUCCUCAGUUGCCAGGUGAGGAAGCUGAAGCCCCGAGACGGGCAGAGAACAUAUCAAAGUCACAGCCAACACCUCGG